CCUACGGGAGGCAGCAGUGGGGAAUAUUGGGCAAUGGGCGCAAGCCUGACCCAGCAACGCCGCGUGAAGGAAGAAGGCUUUCGGGUUGUAAACUUCUUUUCUCAGGGACGAAGCAAGUGACGGUACCUGAGGAAUAAGCCACGGCUAACUACGUGCCAGCAGGCGCGGCAAUACGUAGGGGGCAGGCGUUAUCCGGAUUUACUGGGUGUAAAGGGCUCGUAGGCGGUAUGUCAAGUCAAGGGUGAAAUCCCCGCGGUCAACGUGGGGACUGCCGUUGAAACUGGCAGCCUGGAGAGGUUGAGAGGUAAGUGGAAUUCGAGGUGUAGGGGUGAAAUGCGUAGAUAUCUCGAAGAACAUCGAUGGCGAAGGCAGCUAUCUGGC
Molecule: ribosomal RNA, 381 nt
Filed under: uncultured bacterium
Lineage: Bacteria
Description: partial 16S ribosomal RNA
Rfam family: Bacterial small subunit ribosomal RNA
Source: RNAcentral